GAUCAUGGCUCAGGAUGAACGUCUGGCGGCGUGCUUAACACAUGCAAGUCGAACGAAGCACCUUGAUUUGAUUCUUCGGAUGAAGAUCCUGGUGACUGAGUGGCGGACGGGUGAGUAACGCGUGGGUAACCUGCCUCAUACAGGGGGAUAACAGUUAGAAAUGACUGCUAAUACCGCAUAAGACCACAGCACCGCAUGGUGCAGGGGUAAAAACUCCGGUGGU
This 223-nucleotide ribosomal RNA is filed under the name uncultured bacterium. RNAcentral describes it as "partial 16S ribosomal RNA". It matches the Rfam family "Bacterial small subunit ribosomal RNA", at positions 15 to 219 of the family's 1533-position model. The record is from RNAcentral.